This 492-nucleotide ribosomal RNA is filed under the name uncultured bacterium. RNAcentral describes it as "partial 16S ribosomal RNA". It matches the Rfam family "Bacterial small subunit ribosomal RNA", at positions 29 to 507 of the family's 1533-position model. The record is from RNAcentral.
AGUGAACGCUGGCGGUAGGCCUAACACAUGCAAGUCGAACGGCAGCACAGUAAGAGCUUGCUCUUACGGGUGGCGAGUGGCGGACGGGUGAGGAAUACAUCGGAAUCUACUUUUUCGUGGGGGAUAACGUAGGGAAACUUACGCUAAUACCGCAUACGACCUACGGGUGAAAGCAGGGGAUCUUCGGACCUUGCGCGAUUGAAUGAGCCGAUGUCGGAUUAGCUAGUUGGCGGGGUAAAGGCCCACCAAGGCGACGAUCCGUAGCUGGUCUGAGAGGAUGAUCAGCCAAACUGGAACUGAGACACGGUCCAGACUCCUACGGGAGGCAGCAGUGGGGAAUAUUGGACAAUGGGCGCAAGCCUGAUCCAGCCAUACCGCGUGGGUGAAGAAGGCCUUCGGGUUGUAAAGCCCUUUUGUUGGGAAGGAAAAGCAGCAGGUUAAUACCCCGCUGUUCUGACGGUACCCAAAGAAUAAGCACCGGCUAACUUCGUG